UGAAUAUCUCAUUUGCAUAAGG
This 22-nucleotide non-coding RNA is filed under the name Rattus norvegicus (Norway rat). Lineage: Eukaryota; Metazoa; Chordata; Mammalia; Rodentia; Muridae. The record is from RNAcentral.